Neolamprologus brichardi is the source of this 1155-nucleotide non-coding RNA. NCBI's taxonomy places the organism in Eukaryota, Metazoa, Chordata, Actinopteri, Cichliformes, Cichlidae. The record is from RefSeq and is a predicted model, not a curated record.
CUAAAGACAAGAAAAAAGAAGACCUUUAGAAGGACUGGAAAACUAUUGCCUGAGACCACUUUAAAAGAAUUACACAUCUGUUUCCUUUAAAGCAAAAUAUUAAGAAAUGAGUGAUGGCUCAUGACUGCACAGCUCUGUAUUUUGUUUAAAAUUCAUAGUACUUGGGUUAUGAGCAUAAAAAUGUUGGACAAGUUCUUCAGCUGCUUAUGACAGAUUGCUUUUGCAGGAGAAGUUUACUGAAAGAGUGAUCUUUUUGUCUCAGGUACUUAUUUUAGUACUUGAAGUGCUGACACUGUUCCCAGAGAAAAGCCAAAAUGUGUGACACAAGUGAGACAAAAAGCAACAAUAAAUGACUUUAUCAGGGAUUUCCUCUUUUGUAAGGAUUUAUUUUGACCCCUUAGAUAUAUCUCAUGACCAUCAAGGAUGCCCUCACUGUUAUCAGAACCCAAACCAUAUUAGAAUAUUUAAGCAUUAACAUUGUGACAUUACAAAUGUUUGUUUGAUGAUCAUUUAUGAGGAUGUGUUGCUUUGCCCUACAAUGUAUGCCAUUUGUUUCUUUAAAUGAAUCAGUGACUCUCAUGCAAAGAAAUAAGGCUGUUGGUUCCUCUUUUUUCAGAGGUAGCAUACAGGACUGGUGAGUAGUGUAACUUUGUCUCCAUCUAGUGGCAAAACUGCACAUUUCCGCCUCUGUGUCGCAGCUCACUCUUUACUUUUACCCUUUAACACUUCCUUUAACUGUCUUUUCUCAGCAAUUUAUUGCAACCUUUUUUGCUAGCUGCUAUUAACACUUUGCUAAUAGUGUUUAGUGUGUUUUACAGUGUUUUACAAUUGGUGGGCUUUGUGUUUGGCUUUUUUUUUUGCUUCUGGCAUUUUAGGAAAAAUUACAGAUGUUGAAUGUCUUUAUUUUUACAGUGCGGGAGAAAAGAAAGAGUCUCUUCAUCAAUAAUCACGGAACUUUGAGGCGCAAAUACAGCUCCUGCUCCACCAUCUUCCUGGAUGACAACACAGUCAGCCAGCCCAACCUCAAAUACACCAUCAAAUGUGUAGCAUUGGCAAUAUACUACCAUAUAAAAAACAGGUAAGGAUUCUCAUGUUACCUAAAGACUGCCAGUCAAUAUCUGGGCAUCUGAUAUCAAGGACAAUAUAUUCAGUUUA